RNAcentral lists this ribosomal RNA (559 nucleotides) under Tupinambis teguixin (common tegu). RNAcentral's name for it is "partial 16S ribosomal RNA". It matches the Rfam family "Bacterial large subunit ribosomal RNA", at positions 1799 to 2619 of the family's 2925-position model. The record is from RNAcentral. Lineage: Eukaryota; Metazoa; Chordata; Lepidosauria; Squamata; Teiidae.
CCUGUUUAUCAAAAACAUAGCCUUUAGCAAUUAAGAGUAUUAAAGGUGCCGCCUGCCCAGUGACAUGUUAAACGGCCGCGGGAUCCUCCACCGUGCAAAGGUAGCAUAAUCAUUUGUCCCCUAAAUAGGGACUAGUAUGAAUGGCCCAAUGAAGAUUUACCUGUCUCUUGUAGCCAAUCUAUGAAACUGAUCUUCCAGUACAAAAGCUGGAAUAAUAACACAAGACGAAAAGACCCUGUGGAACUUUUAAACCGCAACCAAUACACAUGGCCACGCCGCUUUUAGUUGGGGCAACUUUGGAAAAAAACACAACUUCCAAUCAAGGAGGUCUAAAAUAUACCUUAGGCCAACACGCCCAUUUUUCCUCCACAUGACCCAGUACAACUGAUUAAAGAAACAAGCUACCCCAGGGAUAACAGCGCCAUCCCCUCUUAGAGCCCAAAUCGACGAGCGGGGCUUACGACCUCGAUGUUGGAUCAGGGCUCCCCAGCAGUGCAGCAGCUGCUAACGGUUUGUUUGUUCAACAAUUAAUGCCCUACGUGAUCUGAGUUAGAACCGG